CCAGCUUUGAGUAUGGUUUCUGGAUUUGGCCCUUAGAGGGUGAAAGGCCCGUCCGAAUGGAGGAUAAGAAAAGUUGGCAAUCCACUAUGCCGGCCUUCGAGUCGGGUUGUUUGAGAAUGCAGCCCAAAGAGGGUGGUAAACUCCAUCCAAGGCUAAAUACUAGCACGAGUCCGAUAGCGAACAAGUACCGUGAGGGAAAGUUGAAAAGUACUUUGAAGAGAGAGUAAACAGUACGUGAAACCGCAUAGAGGUAAACGGGUGGCGUCAAGCUGCAAGCCUAGAGGAUUCAGUCGGUCAGGAUUUUGAGUAUGCGCCUGGCGCAUCUACAGUCAGAGUGUGAUAUUGUGGUCCACUGGUUAAUAGUGGGUCCGGCCGCAAGGUUGGAAUUUGCGUUCCGUAUAUGUGCGGAGCUUGCCACUUGUCUAGGGACUGUCUGACCGAUGCACUUUCUCUAUGGUGAACACCACGACCAGUGGUACUGCCAGUCUGCUGCAGCCAAGUCUGGUUCAGUCGGCAUUUAUGUUGGCUGGGCUGUGAUCAUAGGCAAACUCAGUGAACGGUGUUCGGGUGUUUACGCAUUCGUUCAUGCUAUCGGACACUGGUUGUCAACGGGUCUGUUUGUCGACAAUUGUAGUAGUUGGCAGAUGGCCUGGUGGGCUACGGUGGUAAGAAUAACUGUGCAGGGCACUGGGGAUUGCGGUCUCAAAUUUGGUUCGCGCGCACACUACAAGUGUAUGUGGGGUGUCGUUGCAGUCUGCCUGUGGUCGGGCUUGAUCGUCGUGUUGCCUGCGCAAAGUAGGUCCGGCGGUAGCCUAAUCUUGGAUGGUAUUGUUGACGGCAUUCUCUGCGUGGACUGAU
This 858-nucleotide ribosomal RNA is filed under the name Eubothrium salvelini. Its description in RNAcentral is "eukaryotic LSU rRNA". It matches the Rfam family "Eukaryotic large subunit ribosomal RNA", at positions 169 to 638 of the family's 3401-position model. The record is from RNAcentral. Lineage: Eukaryota; Metazoa; Platyhelminthes; Cestoda; Bothriocephalidea; Triaenophoridae.